CAACGGUGUUGGAUACAUUUGGUGGAGAUGUCGGGACAAGUGCGAGGUUAUGGCCACACCUAGCUCCCAGAAGACUCAUGUUCCAGUGAACUCGUGUUUAACUGACCAUUCUAAGGCGCCAAUCCAAAAAUUUAUCGGAGCUGGUCAUGGACCUUUGCCGUCCUUCAUCCAGAGCCUUCUACAGCGAUGGCAGAUAUAUUGCUGCUCGGAUCAACACUUGACCACGCCGUUGAGUCCAGGAUCUCAGUAGCAGCCAUGACAACAUCAACAGAAUGACAUCUGCCUAUGGAU
This is a long non-coding RNA of Mya arenaria, 291 nucleotides long. RefSeq lists it as uncharacterized. The record is from RefSeq and is a predicted model, not a curated record. The transcript is spliced from 3 exons. Lineage: Eukaryota; Metazoa; Mollusca; Bivalvia; Myida; Myidae.